RNAcentral lists this ribosomal RNA (2891 nucleotides) under Klebsiella pneumoniae. RNAcentral describes it as "bacterial LSU rRNA". It matches the Rfam family "Bacterial large subunit ribosomal RNA". Lineage: Bacteria; Pseudomonadati; Pseudomonadota; Gammaproteobacteria; Enterobacterales; Enterobacteriaceae. The record is from RNAcentral.
ACUAAGCGUACACGGUGGAUGCCCUGGCAGUCAGAGGCGAUGAAGGACGUGCUAAUCUGCGAAAAGCGUCGGUAAGGUGAUAUGAACCGUUAUAACCGGCGAUGUCCGAAUGGGGAAACCCAGUGCAAUUCGUUGCACUAUCGUUAACUGAAUACAUAGGUUAACGAGGCGAACCGGGGGAACUGAAACAUCUAAGUACCCCGAGGAAAAGAAAUCAACCGAGAUUCCCCCAGUAGCGGCGAGCGAACGGGGAGCAGCCCAGAGUCUGAAUCAGCUUGUGUGUUAGUGGAACGGUCUGGAAAGUCCGACGGUACAGGGUGAUAGUCCCGUACACCAAAAUGCACAGGUUGUGAACUCGAAGAGUAGGGCGGGACACGUGGUAUCCUGUCUGAAUAUGGGGGGACCAUCCUCCAAGGCUAAAUACUCCUGACUGACCGAUAGUGAACCAGUACCGUGAGGGAAAGGCGAAAAGAACCCCGGCGAGGGGAGUGAAAAAGAACCUGAAACCGUGUACGUACAAGCAGUGGGAGCACCUUCGGGUGUGACUGCGUACCUUUUGUAUAAUGGGUCAGCGACUUAUAUUCUGUAGCAAGGUUAACCGUAUAGGGGAGCCGCAGGGAAACCGAGUCUUAACUGGGCGUUAAGUUGCAGGGUAUAGACCCGAAACCCGGUGAUCUAGCCAUGGGCAGGUUGAAGGUUGGGUAACACUAACUGGAGGACCGAACCGACUAAUGUUGAAAAAUUAGCGGAUGACUUGUGGCUGGGGGUGAAAGGCCAAUCAAACCGGGAGAUAGCUGGUUCUCCCCGAAAGCUAUUUAGGUAGCGCCUCGUGAAUUCAUCUUCGGGGGUAGAGCACUGUUUCGGCUAGGGGGUCAUCCCGACUUACCAACCCGAUGCAAACUACGAAUACCGAAGAAUGUUAUCACGGGAGACACACGGCGGGUGCUAACGUCCGUCGUGAAGAGGGAAACAACCCAGACCGCCAGCUAAGGUCCCAAAGUCAUGGUUAAGUGGGAAACGAUGUGGGAAGGCACAGACAGCCAGGAUGUUGGCUUAGAAGCAGCCAUCAUUUAAAGAAAGCGUAAUAGCUCACUGGUCGAGUCGGCCUGCGCGGAAGAUGUAACGGGGCUAAACCAUGCACCGAAGCUGCGGCAGCGACACUAUGUGUUGUUGGGUAGGGGAGCGUUCUGUAAGCCUGCGAAGGUGUGCUGUGAGGCAUGCUGGAGGUAUCAGAAGUGCGAAUGCUGACAUAAGUAACGAUAAAGCGGGUGAAAAGCCCGCUCGCCGGAAGACCAAGGGUUCCUGUCCAACGUUAAUCGGGGCAGGGUGAGUCGACCCCUAAGGCGAGGCCGAAAGGCGUAGUCGAUGGGAAACAGGUUAAUAUUCCUGUACUUGGUGUUACUGCGAAGGGGGGACGGAGAAGGCUAUGUUAGCCGGGCGACGGUUGUCCCGGUUUAAGCAUGUAGGCUGGUUGUCCAGGCAAAUCCGGAUAAUCAAGGCUGAGGUGUGAUGACGAGGCACUACGGUGCUGAAGUAACAAAUGCCCUGCUUCCAGGAAAAGCCUCUAAGCAUCAGGUAACAUCAAAUCGUACCCCAAACCGACACAGGUGGUCAGGUAGAGAAUACCAAGGCGCUUGAGAGAACUCGGGUGAAGGAACUAGGCAAAAUGGUGCCGUAACUUCGGGAGAAGGCACGCUGGUGUGUAGGUGAAGUCCCUGCGGAUGGAGCUGAGACCAGUCGAAGAUACCAGCUGGCUGCAACUGUUUAUUAAAAACACAGCACUGUGCAAACACGAAAGUGGACGUAUACGGUGUGACGCCUGCCCGGUGCCGGAAGGUUAAUUGAUGGGGUUAUCCGUAAGGAGAAGCUCUUGAUCGAAGCCCCGGUAAACGGCGGCCGUAACUAUAACGGUCCUAAGGUAGCGAAAUUCCUUGUCGGGUAAGUUCCGACCUGCACGAAUGGCGUAAUGAUGGCCAGGCUGUCUCCACCCGAGACUCAGUGAAAUUGAACUCGCUGUGAAGAUGCAGUGUACCCGCGGCAAGACGGAAAGACCCCGUGAACCUUUACUAUAGCUUGACACUGAACAUUGAGCCUUGAUGUGUAGGAUAGGUGGGAGGCUUUGAAGCGUGGACGCCAGUCUGCGUGGAGCCAACCUUGAAAUACCACCCUUUAAUGUUUGAUGUUCUAACGUUGGCCCCUUAUCGGGGUUGCGGACAGUGUCUGGUGGGUAGUUUGACUGGGGCGGUCUCCUCCCAAAGCGUAACGGAGGAGCACGAAGGUUAGCUAAUCCUGGUCGGACAUCAGGAGGUUAGUGCAAUGGCAUAAGCUAGCUUGACUGCGAGCGUGACGGCGCGAGCAGGUGCGAAAGCAGGUCAUAGUGAUCCGGUGGUUCUGAAUGGAAGGGCCAUCGCUCAACGGAUAAAAGGUACUCCGGGGAUAACAGGCUGAUACCGCCCAAGAGUUCAUAUCGACGGCGGUGUUUGGCACCUCGAUGUCGGCUCAUCACAUCCUGGGGCUGAAGUAGGUCCCAAGGGUAUGGCUGUUCGCCAUUUAAAGUGGUACGCGAGCUGGGUUUAGAACGUCGUGAGACAGUUCGGUCCCUAUCUGCCGUGGGCGCUGGAGAAUUGAGGGGGGCUGCUCCUAGUACGAGAGGACCGGAGUGGACGCAUCACUGGUGUUCGGGUUGUCAUGCCAAUGGCACUGCCCGGUAGCUAAAUGCGGAAGAGAUAAGUGCUGAAAGCAUCUAAGCACGAAACUUGCCCCGAGAUGAGUUCUCCCUGAGACUAUAAGUCUCCUGAAGGAACGUUAAAGACGAUGACGUUGAUAGGCCGGGUGUGUAAGCGCAGCGAUGCGUUGAGCUAACCGGUACUAAUGAACCGUGAGGCUUAACC